CGGUGCCUACUCGAUUUACUGUUACGACCCUGCCCGAUCUGCGUUUUUUUCUUUUGCGACAUGAGUCCCCAUCCGAUUUGUCUCGCGCACGCUCUCUCUGCUUAAUUAAAAUUCAUUUCACGACGCUGCCCGAUUUGUUCAGCGCAUGUCUAAUGUUUUACGACACACGUCAUUUGUCAGGUUUGGCUUGUACUUGCGAGUCAUUUUUGUGUUGUCGUUUAUCUCCGUAUGUAAGUGGACUUGUUACUGGGAAAGAUGGAAACUUUUGCAUUUUAUAACGUCUUGGAAGAUGUGUCGCCUGAAAAAUUUAACUCCAUUCGAAUGAAGAGGGAGCGAAAUGAAAUGUGACGUGUGUCUGAACUUUACAAUGGACAUGUACAGCUUUUUGAUGCCCAGUGGUAACCAGCCUACCAUAUGGCUCAACAGAUGCCAGUGUACCUGAAUACUGAGACACAAUUGGAUGUUCUUUUCUUCUGCUUUUAAGAUUCCCAGUUUGGGAUAAUGUGCAGUUCAUGUUAGAUUUGCUAUUUCUACAGUUACAGUGAAGUAGAAGAGUCCGGUCAUGUUAUGGGGCAGCAGUUAAAGAAGAAGGACGGAGAGAUGUGUGCCAUGUUGAAGUAGCGGUUGGUCCUCCUGCCCGCUCUUCUAGAAUCCUCCAUCUAAACCUUUGUUCUGAUCUGCUGUGCCUUUGCCAAGUGAUCACGAGAAAAGUUCACAAGAUGUCCUAAAAUGGAAUUGUGAUUGGACUGAGACGGCCACAAUUAUGUGUGCUGGGAUGUGCAGAGAGGGCUGUGUAGGCUUUGGCUUGGGACCCCCAGAGGUUUAUUAUCUCCAGUAUCCUUGAAGACUGCAAGUUUGUCUUUGUCCCCAGCCAUUUGACCAGGCAGUGUAUUUAUUACAAAGGACAAGGACCCCAUCCAUUUGCUUCUUAUUUACUUUUAUAAUGCCUUCAAUUUUCUUUGUAACUAUGUUUUUGAAGAGCAAGUUGAGCUACACUUGUAAGAAAAGGUGAUAUAGAAAUAUUAUUACUGAACAAAUGUUAACGGGCAGGUCAGGAAAAAUGUCAUUUUAAAUAGAACACAUUUUUAAUGGAAUAUUGCUGCAUAACAACUCUUUGACUCU
Molecule: long non-coding RNA, 1122 nt
Organism: Erpetoichthys calabaricus (reedfish)
Lineage: Eukaryota; Metazoa; Chordata; Cladistia; Polypteriformes; Polypteridae
Exons: 4
Source: RefSeq, a predicted model, not a curated record